CUUCAGCGACCCCAGCCACAGCGGCCGCCCGGCCGGCCGGUCGCGGCCGUACGCGGCGAUGAGGGCCUGCGCCUC
This is a non-coding RNA of Frankia sp., 75 nucleotides long. The record is from Rfam. NCBI's taxonomy places the organism in Bacteria, Bacillati, Actinomycetota, Actinomycetes, Frankiales, Frankiaceae.